AGUCGAACGAUGAAGCCCUUCGGGGUGGAUUAGUGGCGAACGGGUGAGUAACACGUGGGCAAUCUGCCCUUCACUCUGGGACAAGCCCUGGAAACGGGGUCUAAUACCGGAUACGACCUGCCGAGGCAUCUCGGCGGGUGGAAAGCUCCGGCGGUGAAGGAUGAGCCCGCGGCCUAUCAGCUUGUUGGUGGGGUAAUGGCCUACCAAGGCGACGACGGGUAGCCGGCCUGAGAGGGCGACCGGCCACACUGGGACUGAGACACGGCCCAGACUCCUACGGGAGGCAGCAGUGGGGAAUAUUGCACAAUGGGCGCAAGCCUGAUGCAGCGACGCCGCGUGAGGGAUGACGGCCUUCGGGUUGUAAACCUCUUUCAGCAGGGAAGAAGCGCAAGUGACGGUACCUGCAGAAGAAGCGCCGGCUAACUACGUGCCAGCAGCCGCGGUAAUACGUAGGGCGCAAGCGUUGUCCGGAAUUAUUGGGCGUAAAGAGCUCGUAGGCGGCUUGUCACGUCGGGUGUGAAAGCCCGGGGCUUAACCCCGGGUCUGCAUCCGAUACGGGCAGGCUAGAGUGUGGUAGGGGAGAUCGGAAUUCCUGGUGUAGCGGUGAAAUGCGCAGAUAUCAGGAGGAACACCGGUG
Molecule: ribosomal RNA, 637 nt
Filed under: Streptomyces cinereoruber
Lineage: Bacteria; Bacillati; Actinomycetota; Actinomycetes; Kitasatosporales; Streptomycetaceae
Description: bacterial SSU rRNA
Rfam family: Bacterial small subunit ribosomal RNA
Source: RNAcentral